GUGCUUGCUUCAGCAGCACAUUUACUAAAAUUGGAUUGAUACAGUAAAGAUUAGCAUGGCUCCUGUACAAGGAUGACACACAAAUUCAUGAAGCGUUCCAUAUUUUU
This is a small nuclear RNA of Cynocephalus volans (Philippine flying lemur), 107 nucleotides long. The record is from RefSeq and is a predicted model, not a curated record. NCBI's taxonomy places the organism in Eukaryota, Metazoa, Chordata, Mammalia, Dermoptera, Cynocephalidae.